Molecule: ribosomal RNA, 497 nt
Filed under: uncultured bacterium
Lineage: Bacteria
Description: partial 16S ribosomal RNA
Rfam family: Bacterial small subunit ribosomal RNA
Source: RNAcentral
GAUGAACGCUGGCGGCGUGCCUAAUACAUGCAAGUCGAGCGAACAGACGAGGAGCUUGCUCCUCUGACGUUAGCGGCGGACGGGUGAGUAACACGUGGAUAACCUACCUAUAAUACUGGGAUAACUUCGGGAAACCGGAGCUAAUACCGGAUAAUAUAUUGAACCGCAUGGUUCAAUAGUGAAAGACGGUUUUGCUGUCACUUAUAGAUGGAUCCGCGCCGCAUUAGCUAGUUGGUAAGGUAACGGCUUACCAAGGCAACGAUGCGUAGCCGACCGGAGAGGGUGAUCGGCCACACUGGAACUGAGACACGGUCCAGACUCCUACGGGAGGCAGCAGUAGGGAAUCUUCCGCAAUGGGCGAAAGCUUGACGGAGCAACGCCGCGUGAGUGAUGAAGGUCUUCGGAUCGUAAAACUCUGUUAUUAGGGAAGAACAAAUGUGUAAGUAACUAUGCACGUCUUGACGGUACCUAAUCAGAAAGCCACGGCUAACUACGUG